UACGAAGGGGGCUAGCGUUGUUCGGAAUCACUGGGCGUAAAGCGUACGUAGGCGGAUCGUUAAGUCGGGGGUGAAAUCCUGGAGCUCAACUCCAGAACUGCCUCCGAUACUGGCGGUCUUCGAGUCCGGGAGAGGUGAGUGGAACUCCUAGUGUAGAGGUGAAAUUCGUAGAUAUUAGGAAGAACACCAGUGGCGAAGGCGGCUCACUGGCCCGGUACUGACGCUGAGGUACGAAAGCGUGGGGAGCAAACAGG
RNAcentral lists this ribosomal RNA (254 nucleotides) under uncultured bacterium. Its description in RNAcentral is "partial 16S ribosomal RNA". It matches the Rfam family "Bacterial small subunit ribosomal RNA", at positions 524 to 776 of the family's 1533-position model. The record is from RNAcentral.